CAGUCGCCACGGUAAUACGUAGGGUGCGAGCGUUAAUCGGAAUUACUGGGCGUAAAGCGUGCGCAGGCGGUUUUGUAAGACAGGCGUGAAAUCCCCGGGCUCAACCUGGGAAUGGCGCUUGUGACUGCAAAGCUAGAGUGCGGCAGAGGGGGAUGGAAUUCCGCGUGUAGCAGUGAAAUGCGUAGAUAUGCGGAGGAACACCGAUGGCGAAGGCAAUCCCCUGGGCCUGCACUGACGCUCAUGCACGAGAGCGUGGGGAGCAAACAGGAUUAGAUACCCCUGUAGUCCCUGUCUCUUAUAC
This 301-nucleotide ribosomal RNA is filed under the name uncultured bacterium. RNAcentral describes it as "partial 16S ribosomal RNA". It matches the Rfam family "Bacterial small subunit ribosomal RNA", at positions 509 to 807 of the family's 1533-position model. The record is from RNAcentral.